This 1033-nucleotide ribosomal RNA is filed under the name Lasiodiplodia theobromae. RNAcentral's name for it is "SSU rRNA". It matches the Rfam family "Eukaryotic small subunit ribosomal RNA", at positions 64 to 1105 of the family's 1831-position model. Lineage: Eukaryota; Fungi; Ascomycota; Dothideomycetes; Botryosphaeriales; Botryosphaeriaceae. The record is from RNAcentral.
UAUAAGCAAUCUAUACUGUGAAACUGCGAAUGGCUCAUUAAAUCAGUUAUCGUUUAUUUGAUAGUACCUUACUACUUGGAUAACCGUGGUAAUUCUAGAGCUAAUACAUGCUAAAAACCCCGACUUCGGAAGGGGUGUAUUUAUUAGAUAAAAAACCAAUGCCCUUCGGGGCUCCUUGGUGAAUCAUGAUAACUUAACGAAUCGCAUGGCCUUGCGCCGGCGAUGGUUCAUUCAAAUUUCUGCCCUAUCAACUUUCGAUUGUAGGAUAGUGGCCUACAAUGGUUUCAACGGGUAACGGGGAAUUAGGGUUCUAUUCCGGAGAGGGAGCCUGAGAAACGGCUACCACAUCCAAGGAAGGCAGCAGGCGCGCAAAUUACCCAAUCCCGAUACGGGGAGGUAGUGACAAUAAAUACUGAUACAGGGCUCUUUUGGGUCUUGUAAUUGGAAUGAGUACAAUUUAAAUACCUUAACGAGGAACAAUUGGAGGGCAAGUCUGGUGCCAGCAGCCGCGGUAAUUCCAGCUCCAAUAGCGUAUAUUAAAGUUGUUGCAGUUAAAAAGCUCGUAGUUGAACCUUGGGCCUGGCUGGCCGGUCUGCCUCACCGCAUGUACUGGUUCGGCCGGGUCUUUCCUCCUGGGGAUCCGCAUGCCCUUCACUGGGUGUGUUGGGGAACCAGGACUUUUACUUUGAAAAAAUUAGAGUGUUCAAAGCAGGCCUUUGCUCGAAUACAUUAGCAUGGAAUAAUAGAAUAGGACGUGCGGUCCUAUUUUGUUGGUUUCUAGGACCGCCGUAAUGAUUAAUAGGGAUAGUCGGGGGCAUCAGUAUUCAGUUGUCAGAGGUGAAAUUCUUGGAUUUACUGAAGACUAACUACUGCGAAAGCAUUUGCCAAGGAUGUUUUCAUUAAUCAGUGAACGAAAGUUAGGGGAUCGAAGACGAUCAGAUACCGUCGUAGUCUUAACCGUAAACUAUGCCGACUAGGGAUCGGGCGAUGUUAUUCUUUUGACUCGCUCGGCACCUUACGAGAAAUCAAAGUC